AAACUGCGAAUGGCUCAUUAAAUCAGUUAUCGUUUAUUUGAUAGUACCUUACUACUUGGAUAACCGUGGUAAUUCUAGAGCUAAUACAUGCUAAAAACCCCGACUUCGGGAGGGGUGUAUUUAUUAGAUAAAAAACCAACGCCCUUCGGGGCUCCCUGGUGAUUCAUGAUAACUUAACGAAUCGCAUGGCCUUGCGCCGGCGAUGGUUCAUUCAAAUUUCUGCCCUAUCAACUUUCGAUGGUAGGAUAGUGGCCUACCAUGGUAUCAACGGGUAACGGGGAAUUAGGGUUCUAUUCCGGAGAGGGAGCCUGAGAAACGGCUACCACAUCCAAGGAAGGCAGCAGGCGCGCAAAUUACCCAAUCCCGACACGGGGAGGUAGUGACAAUAAAUACUGAUACAGGGCUCUUUUGGGUCUUGUAAUUGGAAUGAGUACAAUUUAAAUCCCUUAACGAGGAACAAUUGGAGGGCAAGUCUGGUGCCAGCAGCCGCGGUAAUUCCAGCUCCAAUAGCGUAUAUUAAAGUUGUUGCAGUUAAAAAGCUCGUAGUUGAACCUUGGGCCUGGCUGGCCGGUCCGCCUCACCGCGUGCACUGGUCCGGCCGGGCCUUUCCUUCUGGGGAGCCGCAUGCCCUUCACUGGGCGUGUUGGGGAACCAGGACUUUUACUUUGAAAAAAUUAGAGUGUUCAAAGCAGGCCUUUGCUCGAAUACAUUAGCAUGGAAUAAUAGAAUAGGACGUGUGGUUCUAUUUUGUUGGUUUCUAGGACCGCCGUAAUGAUUAAUAGGGAUAGUCGGGGGCAUCCGUAUUCAAUUGUCAGAGGUGAAAUUCUUGGAUUUAUUGAAGACGAACUACUGCGAAAGCAUUUGCCAAGGAUGUUUUCAUUAAUCAGUGAACGAAAGUUAGGGGAUCGAAGACGAUCAGAUACCGUCGUAGUCUUAACCAUAAACUAUGCCGACUAGGGAUCGGACGAUGUUAUUAUUUUGACUCGUUCGGCACCUUACGAGAAAUCAAAGUCUUGG
This 1017-nucleotide ribosomal RNA is filed under the name Phaeosclera dematioides. RNAcentral's name for it is "SSU rRNA". It matches the Rfam family "Eukaryotic small subunit ribosomal RNA", at positions 84 to 1109 of the family's 1831-position model. The record is from RNAcentral. Lineage: Eukaryota; Fungi; Ascomycota; Dothideomycetes.